RNAcentral lists this ribosomal RNA (254 nucleotides) under uncultured bacterium. RNAcentral's name for it is "partial 16S ribosomal RNA". It matches the Rfam family "Bacterial small subunit ribosomal RNA", at positions 524 to 777 of the family's 1533-position model. The record is from RNAcentral.
UACGGAGGGUGCAAGCGUUAUCCGGAUUCACUGGGUUUAAAGGGUGCGUAGGUGGGCAGGUAAGUCAGUAGUGAAAUCUCUGGGCUUAACCCGGAACUGCCGUUGAUACUAUCUGUCUUGAAUAUAGUGGAGGUGAGCGGAAUAUGUCAUGUAGCGGUGAAAUGCUUAGAUAUGACAUAGAACACCAAUUGCGAAGGCAGCUGGCUACACGAAUAUUGACACUGAUGCACGAAAGCGUGGGGGAUCAAACAGGA